Molecule: long non-coding RNA, 378 nt
Filed under: Brassica napus (rape)
Lineage: Eukaryota; Viridiplantae; Streptophyta; Magnoliopsida; Brassicales; Brassicaceae
Description: long non-coding RNA (BNAP_LNC023413)
Source: RNAcentral
AGUGUCGUAGGAAUUAUGUCUUUCUCAUUAUCGAAUAAAAUUGAAGCAGAGUGUUGGAGGAUAGAUCAACGUAUAGACGAGAUUAUGGAGAUUGAUAUGGGAGUUGAGGUAACGGACACAACUGUUCCUCCGUAAAGAAACGCUCCUGCUAGACAUCCUGGAUAAAUGAAAGAGACAUAUUUGGACUUGGCUUUGUGUUAAUGGAUGGUGAUUUUUCAAUGCUGUUUGGAGCAAGGGCCGAUAUACACGCACCAAAUCACCACUGCAAGCGGAAGCUGAAGGUUUACUAUGGGCAAUGCAAGUGAUACUGAAGUUUGGACACAGAGAGAUGGUCUUUCAAUCAACUGUGAACAACUGGUUAUACUCAUUCAAAAGGAG